RNAcentral lists this non-coding RNA (25 nucleotides) under Mus musculus (house mouse). Lineage: Eukaryota; Metazoa; Chordata; Mammalia; Rodentia; Muridae. The record is from RNAcentral.
UGCAGCAGCGUGGUGACCUGGAGAA